RNAcentral lists this ribosomal RNA (1405 nucleotides) under Klebsiella pneumoniae. RNAcentral describes it as "bacterial SSU rRNA". It matches the Rfam family "Bacterial small subunit ribosomal RNA". Lineage: Bacteria; Pseudomonadati; Pseudomonadota; Gammaproteobacteria; Enterobacterales; Enterobacteriaceae. The record is from RNAcentral.
GCAGUCGAGCGGUAGCACAGAGAGCUUGCUCUCGGGUGACGAGCGGCGGACGGGUGAGUAAUGUCUGGGAAACUGCCUGAUGGAGGGGGAUAACUACUGGAAACGGUAGCUAAUACCGCAUAACGUCGCAAGACCAAAGUGGGGGACCUUCGGGCCUCAUGCCAUCAGAUGUGCCCAGAUGGGAUUAGCUAGUAGGUGGGGUAACGGCUCACCUAGGCGACGAUCCCUAGCUGGUCUGAGAGGAUGACCAGCCACACUGGAACUGAGACACGGUCCAGACUCCUACGGGAGGCAGCAGUGGGGAAUAUUGCACAAUGGGCGCAAGCCUGAUGCAGCCAUGCCGCGUGUGUGAAGAAGGCCUUCGGGUUGUAAAGCACUUUCAGCGGGGAGGAAGGCGUUAAGGUUAAUAACCUUGGCGAUUGACGUUACCCGCAGAAGAAGCACCGGCUAACUCCGUGCCAGCAGCCGCGGUAAUACGGAGGGUGCAAGCGUUAAUCGGAAUUACUGGGCGUAAAGCGCACGCAGGCGGUCUGUCAAGUCGGAUGUGAAAUCCCCGGGCUCAACCUGGGAACUGCAUUCGAAACUGGCAGGCUAGAGUCUUGUAGAGGGGGGUAGAAUUCCAGGUGUAGCGGUGAAAUGCGUAGAGAUCUGGAGGAAUACCGGUGGCGAAGGCGGCCCCCUGGACAAAGACUGACGCUCAGGUGCGAAAGCGUGGGGAGCAAACAGGAUUAGAUACCCUGGUAGUCCACGCCGUAAACGAUGUCGAUUUGGAGGUUGUGCCCUUGAGGCGUGGCUUCCGGAGCUAACGCGUUAAAUCGACCGCCUGGGGAGUACGGCCGCAAGGUUAAAACUCAAAUGAAUUGACGGGGGCCCGCACAAGCGGUGGAGCAUGUGGUUUAAUUCGAUGCAACGCGAAGAACCUUACCUGGUCUUGACAUCCACAGAACUUUCCAGAGAUGGAUUGGUGCCUUCGGGAACUGUGAGACAGGUGCUGCAUGGCUGUCGUCAGCUCGUGUUGUGAAAUGUUGGGUUAAGUCCCGCAACGAGCGCAACCCUUAUCCUUUGUUGCCAGCGGUUCGGCCGGGAACUCAAAGGAGACUGCCAGUGAUAAACUGGAGGAAGGUGGGGAUGACGUCAAGUCAUCAUGGCCCUUACGACCAGGGCUACACACGUGCUACAAUGGCAUAUACAAAGAGAAGCGACCUCGCGAGAGCAAGCGGACCUCAUAAAGUAUGUCGUAGUCCGGAUUGGAGUCUGCAACUCGACUCCAUGAAGUCGGAAUCGCUAGUAAUCGUAGAUCAGAAUGCUACGGUGAAUACGUUCCCGGGCCUUGUACACACCGCCCGUCACACCAUGGGAGUGGGUUGCAAAAGAAGUAGGUAGCUUAACCUUCGGGAGGGCGCUU